This 305-nucleotide ribosomal RNA is filed under the name uncultured bacterium. Its description in RNAcentral is "bacterial SSU rRNA". It matches the Rfam family "Bacterial small subunit ribosomal RNA", at positions 337 to 634 of the family's 1533-position model. The record is from RNAcentral.
CCCUACGGGGGGCAGCAGUAGGGAAUCUUCCACAAUGGGCGAAAGCCUGAUGGAGCAACGCCGCGUGGGUGAAGAAGGUCUUCGGAUCGUAAAACCCUGUUGUUAGAGAAGAAAGUGCGUGAGAGUAACUGUCCACGUUUCGACGGUAUCUAACCAGAAAGCCACGGCUAACUACGUGCCAGCAGCCGCGGUAAUACGUAGGUGGCAAGCGUUAUCCGGAUUUAUUGGGCGUAAAGGGAACGCAGGCGGUCUUUUAAGUCUGAUGUGAAAGCCUUCGGCUUAAACGGAGUAGUGCAUUGGAAACU